UUCUUUUCUUGUCGUGGAAUUGCAAUUGCAGUUGAAUAUUUUUGGAAGCUUGGCAACAGAAACAUCACUGUAUUUGUCCCUCAGUGGAGAACAAGGCGUGAUCCUAAUGUCACAGGUUUCUACUACACUUAGCGGACAAAACUGGUGGCAUAAUUGUGACAAAUGAUAAUUUCAGAGAAUUUGUGAAUGAGUCAGUCUCUUGGAGAGAAAUUAUUACAAAAAGGCUGCUGCAGUACACGUUCGUGGGGGACAUAUUUAUGGUUCCUGAUGAUCCUCUGGGAAGAAGUGGACCUCGA
This 296-nucleotide small RNA is filed under the name Pan troglodytes (chimpanzee). RNAcentral describes it as "processed transcript". Lineage: Eukaryota; Metazoa; Chordata; Mammalia; Primates; Hominidae. The record is from RNAcentral.